GACAAACGCUGGCGGGGUGCGUGAGACAUGCAAGUCGAACGAGGAGCCUCCGAGCUUGCUUGGAGGUUUCCUAGUGGCGGACGGCUGAGUAACGCGUAGGUGACCUACCCGGAAGUGGGGAAUAACUGCCCGAAAGGGUGGCUAAUACCGCAUGUGAUCGGUGAUUCGAUUCACCGCUUAAAGGAGUAAUCCGCUUCCGGCGGGGCCUGCGUUCGAUUAGCUAGUUGGUGGGGUAACGGCUCACCAAGGCGACGAUCGAUAGCUGGUCUGAGAGGAUGAUCAGCCAGACUGGGACUGAGAACGGCCCAGACUCCUACGGGAGGCAGCAGUCGGGAAUUUUGCCCAAUGGACGAAAGUCUGAGGCAGCAACUCCGCGUGAGGGACGAAGGCUCUAGGGUCGUAAACCUCUUUUCUCAGGGAAGAUCCAAGACGGUACCUGAGGAAUAAGCCACGGCUAACUACGUG
This 465-nucleotide ribosomal RNA is filed under the name uncultured bacterium. Its description in RNAcentral is "bacterial SSU rRNA". It matches the Rfam family "Bacterial small subunit ribosomal RNA", at positions 28 to 507 of the family's 1533-position model. The record is from RNAcentral.